CCGGCCCUGGCAGUGCAUACACUGUUCAUCAUCACAACUCUAACCCUAUAACAAUAAAAAACUUGAAAAAUAAUGAUCAAUCCAAAACGUAAAAUUCACAGCUACAAUAACCUUAACAAAUAUUAAGAUAAAACAAGAAUUAUGUCUACAAUUUCGCGCUUACGCGGGGGCAAUACCCUUAGUCAAUAAAACGAUAUAGUGGUUCAAUCGUUUAUAUUGAAAGAAUCGCAUCAAUGUAUAUGAAGAGUUGUACGUACAGUGGACAUUAUAUGUGCUGUACAAUUUUUUUUUACCAACAAGAACUUUGAUUAUAACUAAAUAUUUAUUAAUGUGCAAGAAAAGUAUAGUCAAUGCCCCCAGAACACUUCCCAUCUCGUCGCCUUUAAAAAGAAAAACUCCCAUCUCGUCUUACACUGCAUUUUGUCUUCUGGAUUUGUUUUACUAAUAAAGAUAAAAACAUGUUCUUCAGCUUUGUGGCUUCAAUUUUUUAUUCCUUAUGUUCCUUUUUAUACAUUUUUCCACUGC
Molecule: long non-coding RNA, 525 nt
Filed under: Brassica napus (rape)
Lineage: Eukaryota; Viridiplantae; Streptophyta; Magnoliopsida; Brassicales; Brassicaceae
Description: long non-coding RNA (BNAP_LNC007956)
Source: RNAcentral